UGGCGAACGGGUGAGUAAUACAUCGGAACGUACCCAGAAGUGGGGGAUAACGUAGCGAAAGUUACGCUAAUACCGCAUACGUUCUACGGAAGAAAGUGGGGGAUCUUCGGGCCUCAUGCUUUUGGAGCGGCCGAUGUCUGAUUAGCUAGUUGGUGAGGUAAAGGCUCACCAAGGCGACGAUCAGUAGCUGGUCUGAGAGGACGACCAGCCACACUGGGACUGAGACACGGCCCAGACUCCUACGGGAGGCAGCAGUGGGGAAUUUUGGACAAUGGGCGCAAGCCUGAUCCAGCAAUGCCGCGUGAGUGAAGAAGGCCUUCGGGUUGUAAAGCUCUUUUGUCAGGGAAGAAACGGUUCGGGCUAAUAUCCUGGGCUAAUGACGGUACCUGAAGAAUAAGCACCGGCUAACUACGUGCCAGCAGCCGCGGUAAUACGUAGGGUGCAAGCGUUAAUCGGAAUUACUGGGCGUAAAGCGUGCGCAGGCGGUUUUGUAAGUCUGACGUGAAAGCCCCGGGCUUAACCUGGGAAUUGCGUUGGAGACUGCAAGGCUUGAAUCUGGCAGAGGGGGGUAGAAUUCCACGUGUAGCAGUGAAAUGCGUAGAGAUGUGGAGGAACACCGAUGGCGAAGGCAGCCCCCUGGG
Molecule: ribosomal RNA, 641 nt
Filed under: Massilia sp. I15B-00833
Lineage: Bacteria; Pseudomonadati; Pseudomonadota; Betaproteobacteria; Burkholderiales; Oxalobacteraceae
Description: bacterial SSU rRNA
Rfam family: Bacterial small subunit ribosomal RNA
Source: RNAcentral